This 253-nucleotide ribosomal RNA is filed under the name uncultured bacterium. RNAcentral describes it as "partial 16S ribosomal RNA". It matches the Rfam family "Bacterial small subunit ribosomal RNA", at positions 524 to 776 of the family's 1533-position model. The record is from RNAcentral.
UACGAAGGGGGCUAGCGUUGCGCGGAAUCACUGGGCGUAAAGGGGGCGUAGGCGGGUCUUUAAGUCAGGGGGGAAAUCCUGGAGCUCAACUCCAGAACUGCCUUUGAUACUGAAGAUCUUGAGUUCGGGAGAGGUGAGUGGAACUGCGAGUGUAGAGGUGAAAUUCGUAGAUAUUCGCAAGAACACCAGUGGCGAAGGCAGCAGACUGGGGCACUCCUGACACUGAGACACGAAAGCGUGGGUAGCGAAUGGG